AUGGAGGACACGGCGGCGACGCUGGCGACGGAGCUGGACGGGCUGCUGGCCAUGGCGAGGGAGCUGGAGGUGCGCCUCGAAGGCGACCAGGGCGCGCCGGGUACCGCCAGGGAGCUCUGCGCCGCUCUGGCCGCGUCCGUCGACCGGGCCAUGAGACUCGCCGGGAGCAGCCCGCGCGGCGGCGGCGACGGCGAAGGCAAUGCCACCGGCAGGGCGAGCGUGAGCGGCAGGAAGGCCGCGGCGGGGAAGGUGAGGAGGCAGGUGCGGGUGGCGUCUGUGACGGACGUGGGGCCGCUCAACGACGGGCUCAGCUGGCGCAAGUACGGGCAGAAGGACAUCCUCGGCGCCCCGUACCCGCGGGCAUACUUCCGGUGCACGCACCGGCACUCGCAGGGCUGCCAGGCCACCAAGCAGGUGCAGCGCCCGCACGCCGACCCGCUGCUCUUCGACGUCGUGUACCACGGCGCGCACAUCUGCGCCCAGGCCGCCGUACGGCCAGAGCAGCAGAGCCCGCCGGCCGUGGCGCCGGAGGGGAUUCAGUGGCCGGUUACGCCGCCCUCGUUCCCCUCCCCGCCUGCCGGCACCGUUGGCGAAUACUACCCCUCCGUGUGCCAGCUUGACGGCGGCUACGGCUACGCUGCCGGCGGAGGCCUCGGGGCUGACAUGGGGUUCGGGAGUCAACAGGACGAGUGGUUCCUGAAUCUGUCCGAUGUUUUCCAACCCGAGGUUCAGAACCUGUAG
Molecule: ribosomal RNA, 741 nt
Filed under: Triticum aestivum (bread wheat)
Lineage: Eukaryota; Viridiplantae; Streptophyta; Magnoliopsida; Poales; Poaceae
Description: partial small subunit ribosomal RNA
Source: RNAcentral